GUAUAAGAGACAGCAGUAGCCGCGGUAAAACGGAGGGAGCUAGCGUUGUUCGGAAUUACUGGGCGUAAAGCGCGCGUAGGCGGUUACUCAAGUCAGAGGUGAAAGCCCGGGGCUCAACCCCGGAACUGCCUUUGAAACUAGGUGACUAGAAUCUUGGAGAGGUCAGUGGAAUUCCGAGUGUAGAGGUGAAAUUCGUAGAUAUUCGGAAGAACACCAGUGGCGAAGGCGACUGACUGGACAAGUAUUGACGCUGAGGUGCGAAAGCGUGGGGAGCAAACAGGAUUAGAUACCCCUGUAGUCCCUGUCUCUUAUAC
This 314-nucleotide ribosomal RNA is filed under the name uncultured bacterium. Its description in RNAcentral is "partial 16S ribosomal RNA". It matches the Rfam family "Bacterial small subunit ribosomal RNA", at positions 495 to 807 of the family's 1533-position model. The record is from RNAcentral.